Molecule: ribosomal RNA, 397 nt
Filed under: Salmonella enterica
Lineage: Bacteria; Pseudomonadati; Pseudomonadota; Gammaproteobacteria; Enterobacterales; Enterobacteriaceae
Description: partial 23S ribosomal RNA
Rfam family: Bacterial large subunit ribosomal RNA
Source: RNAcentral
CAACGUUAAUCGGGGCAGGGUGAGUCGACCCCUAAGGCGAGGCCGAAAGGCGUAGUCGAUGGGAAACGGGUUAAUAUUCCCGUACUUGGUGUUACUGCGAAGGGGGGACGGAGAAGGCUAUGUUGGCCGGGCGACGGUUGUCCCGGUUUAAGCGUGUAGGUGUGUGUUCCAGGUAAAUCCGGUUCACUUUAACACUGAGGCGUGACGACGAGGCACUACGGUGCUGAAGCAACAAAUGCCCUGCUUCCAGGAAAAGCCUCUAAGCAUCAGGUAACAUCAAAUCGUACCCCAAACCGACACAGGUGGUCAGGUAGAGAAUACCAAGGCGCUUGAGAGAACUCGGGUGAAGGAACUAGGCAAAAUGGUGCCGUAACUUCGGGAGAAGGCACGCUGACAC